This 1057-nucleotide ribosomal RNA is filed under the name uncultured Basidiomycota. RNAcentral describes it as "eukaryotic LSU rRNA". The stretch from base 621 to 1057 matches the Rfam family "Eukaryotic large subunit ribosomal RNA", at positions 1 to 429 of the family's 3401-position model. Lineage: Eukaryota; Fungi; Basidiomycota. The record is from RNAcentral.
CUUGGUCAUUUAGAGGAAGUAAAAGUCGUAACAAGGUUUCCGUAGGUGAACCUGCGGAAGGAUCAUUCAUAAUAAGUGUUUUACUGCACUUUUUAAACAAGUACUCACCUUGUGUGCAAUGUUUGCUGACAUCGUCGUUCACGCGUCGCGUCGGCAUAAUACCAACCCUUUAUUGAAACUUUUUUGUCUGAAGAUAUUUUGAAUAAAUAAUUCUAAAUACAACUUUCAACAACGGAUCUCUUGGCUCUCGCAUCGAUGAAGAACGCAGCGAAAUGCGAUACGUAAUGUGAAUUGCAGAAUUCAGUGAAUCAUCGAAUCUUUGAACGCACAUUGCACUCUCUGGUAUUCCGGAGAGUAUGCUUGUUUGAGUAUCUGUAAACAUCUCAAAUCUCUUUGCGCUUGCGCAUAAGAGACUUGGAUUUGAGCGAUCCCGACUCCUUCGACAGAAAGAGGAGGGUCGCUUGAAAUGCAGGUGCAGCUGGACAUUCUUCUGAGCUAAAAGCAUAUCUAUUUAGUCCCGUCAAACGGAUUAUUACUUUUGCCUCAGCUAAUACAAAGGUCGAAUGAACUACCAACGCUGAUUGCAGGAAAACUCGUUUUUUUACUAAAACUUGUAAACUCGAUCUCAAAUCAAGUAAGACUACCCGCUGAACUUAAGCAUAUCAAUAAGCGGAGGAAAAGAAACUAACAAGGAUUCCCCUAGUAACGGCGAGUGAAGCGGGAUGAGCUCAAAUUUAAAAUCUGGCGGUCCUUGUGGCUGUCCGAGUUGUAAUCUAGAGAAGUGCUAUCCGCGCUGGACCGUGUACAAGUCUCCUGGAACGGAGCGUCAUAGAGGGUGAGAAUCCCGUCUUUGGCACGGACUACCAGGGCUUUGUGAUGUGCUCUCAAAGAGUCGAGUUGUUUGGGAAUGCAGCUCUAAAUGGGUGGUAAAUUCCAUCUAAAGCUAAAUAUUGGCGAGAGACCGAUAGCGAACAAGUACCGUGAGGGAAAGAUGAAAAGAACUUUGGAAAGAGAGUUAAACAGUACGUGAAAUUGUUGAAAGGGAAACGCUUGAAGU